Molecule: unclassified non-coding RNA, 334 nt
Filed under: soil metagenome
Description: partial contains 5.8S ribosomal RNA, internal transcribed spacer 2, and large subunit ribosomal RNA
Rfam family: 5.8S ribosomal RNA (bases 1-120)
Source: RNAcentral
GAUGAAGAACGUAGCGAAAUGCGAUAAGUAAUGUGAAUUGCAGAAUUCAGUGAAUCAUCGAAUCUUUGAACGCACAUUGCGCCCGCUAGUAUUCUGGCGGGCAUGCCUGUUCGAGCGUCAUUUCAACCAUCAAGCCCCCGGCUUGUGUUGGGGACCUGCGGCUGCCGCAGGCCCUGAAAACCAGUGGCGGGCUCGCUAGUCACUCCGAGCGUAGUAAUACAUCUCGCUCAGGGCGUGCUGCGGGUUCCGGCCGUUAAAAAGCCUUAUUUACCCAAGGUUGACCUCGGAUCAGGUAGGAAGACCCGCUGAACUUAAGCAUAUCAAAAGCGGAGGA